Molecule: long non-coding RNA, 230 nt
Filed under: Elaeis guineensis (African oil palm)
Lineage: Eukaryota; Viridiplantae; Streptophyta; Magnoliopsida; Arecales; Arecaceae
Description: long non-coding RNA (EGUI_LNC068221)
Source: RNAcentral
GCUGCUCUCUGACCUCUAUCAGCACUUGAGUUUUCAAUGCGUUGAGAGGGGUGUAGCUAUGGAAUCUUCUCGGGGGAGAGCUCCGUCGAACUCUGUGGUCCGGGUUCCUUUGCCUACGAGCCCAGGGAGGAGUCUGGACACGCUUGUGUCCAGAGGGAGUUCGAGAAUGCAGCCGAGCUUCACUCGGCCCUUUUUCAACUGUGGGCUUGCUGGAGUCUCCUGCUUGCCAC